AGCUUUAAGACUCAUGCAGUCGUACGGUAACAGGACGAGCUUGCGGCUUCGCUGACGAGCGGUUGACGGGUGAGUCAUGUCUGGGAACUGCCUGAUGGAGGGGGAUAACUACUGGAAACGGUAGCUAAUACCGCAUAACGUCGCAAGACCAGAGAGGGGGAUCUUCGAGCCUCUUGCCAUCGGAUGUGCCCAGAUGGGAUUAGCUAGUAGGUGGCGUAACGGCUCACCUAGUGACGAUCCCUAGCUGGGUGAGAGGAUGACCAGCCACACUGAACUGAGACACGAUCAGAUCUAUACGGAGGCAGCAGUGGUGAUAUUGCACAAUGGCGCGAGCCUGAUGCAGCCAUGCAGCGUGUAUGAGAGUCUUCGGUGUCUGUACUUCAGCGCGGAGCUGACAGUAAGUAUACAUUGCUCAUGACGUACCGCAGAGAGCACGCUACUCUGUGCAGCAGCGCGAUAUACGAGAUGCAGCGUCAUCGAUACUGACGUCACGCGCACGCAGCGAUGUAGUCAGAUGUGAGUCUCAGCUCAGCUGACUGCAUCUGAUCUGCAGCUGAGCUCGUGAGCAGUAGAUGCAGAUAGCGUGAUGCUAGAUCGAGAUCGUGCAGCGUCCUGACGAGCUGACUAGUCAGCUGUGCAGCGAUGAUCUGAGUCAGCGUACAGUUCACUGAGUGCAUAGCUGCUCGACUACGUAGUACGUGUACGUCAGUAUCAUGAUGACGACGACGGUGACUGUAUCGAUGCACUGACUACUGCUGACUCAGAUC
This 767-nucleotide ribosomal RNA is filed under the name thermal spring bacterium 13. RNAcentral's name for it is "partial 16S ribosomal RNA". The stretch from base 1 to 478 matches the Rfam family "Bacterial small subunit ribosomal RNA", at positions 38 to 545 of the family's 1533-position model. The record is from RNAcentral.